This is a long non-coding RNA of Carassius carassius (crucian carp), 436 nucleotides long. RefSeq lists it as uncharacterized. The record is from RefSeq and is a predicted model, not a curated record. The transcript is spliced from 3 exons. Lineage: Eukaryota; Metazoa; Chordata; Actinopteri; Cypriniformes; Cyprinidae.
UACUCUCAAAUGUGAAACUUGCAUGCUUGCAUCCAGCUGUGGAUAUUCUGGGAAAAUACCCGUUAAUGCCCGUUAAUGAUGACGUUAUACUCCCGCUUGCAACCACGACUUCCUCCUCUUCGGACUUCAUCAAGCAGAUAUGCCAGGACCUGGUUCAACUACUAAGAAAUGUGCGUCUUGUUCUAUGCCACUCAAUGUGGCUUGCAAGACGUGCAAGUACUGCAAAGCAGCGCAGCCCCACAAUCUGCGUUUGAAAAAAAAAAAAUAGAAAGAUUUGAUUUGAAAUCAGAGACAUGGGCCCAGGCCCAGAAAAAUAAUAACACUUCAUCCCACCUGAUGGAUGACGCUUCUUUGUUGCUGGAAAGGUUUUAGGCCCUUGGCUCCAGGGGUGUGUUAUUUAUAUCCCGCCCUGGAACUAAAUCGUGGACCUGUGAGG